Molecule: ribosomal RNA, 422 nt
Filed under: uncultured archaeon
Lineage: Archaea
Description: bacterial SSU rRNA
Rfam family: Archaeal small subunit ribosomal RNA
Source: RNAcentral
ACGGGCGCAGCAGGCGCGAAACCUUUACACUGUACGCAAGUGCGAUAAGGGGACUCCGAGUGUGAAGGCAUAGAGCCUUCACUUUUGUACACCGUAAGGUGGUGUACGAAUAAGGGCUGGGCAAGACCGGUGCCAGCCGCCGCGGUAAUACCGGCAGCCCGAGUGAUGGCCGAUAUUAUUGGGCCUAAAGCGUCCGUAGCUGGCCGGACAAGUCCGUUGGGAAAUCUGUUCGCUUAACGAGCAGGCGUCCAGCGGAAACUGUUCGGCUUGGGACCGGAAGACCUGAGGGGUACGUCCGGGGUAGGAGUGAAAUCCUGUAAUCCUGGACGGACCACCGGUGGCGAAAGCGCCUCAGGAGGACGGAUCCGACAGUGAGGGACGAAAGCUAGGGUCUCGAACCGGAUUAGAUACCCCCGUAGUCC